RNAcentral lists this long non-coding RNA (1026 nucleotides) under Cicer arietinum (chickpea). RNAcentral describes it as "long non-coding RNA (CARI_LNC003700)". Lineage: Eukaryota; Viridiplantae; Streptophyta; Magnoliopsida; Fabales; Fabaceae. The record is from RNAcentral.
GCAAAAUUAAAUUACAAUAAGAUUUAAACCAAACUAAAUUAAAUUACAAUAAUUUUUAAUUUGUUGCUGUUGUUGCCUCUCUGCCUCUCUGUUUCUGAUGCAGUGUUUGGCUCUAUUGUGUUGCUGCCUUUCUGUUUCAGAUGUAGUUGUCAUUGACCUUUGCUUUGUAACUGAAUUGAGAAACAUAAAAACAUAAUUUUUUUAAAUCAGUCUUGGUAUACAUUGUGCAGAACAAAGAGACAACUUUUAGAGUUUAAAAAAAGAAACUAAAAGACAAAUUAAAGCUCAGCAACAGAACUGAUCAAAACAGAUAAGUCAAAACCAUGAAUACAUCAGGGAUGCAGAAAAAACGCAGAUGAUGAGCAAGGCAAUCAAAACAUUAAACAGGAAAUAGAUAGAGAAGGACCAAGGCAGACAAAGAAAGCAACUGAACACAUAAAAAACUCUAUAAAUAUACCCUAUAAAAUUUCAAAAAGGGCAUCUGAGAUUAAUACCACUAAAAAACGCAUAGAAAGAAGAAGACAAGUAAGAAAUCACCAGAGGGGCAUCAAUAACAAACAGCAAAUAACAAUCGAACAGGUAUAUUUUUUAUAUACCAUAAAUUUGUUUCUUGAUCUUCACUUUUUUUUGUUAAAAAAAAAUGUAGAUAUUUUUUUAAAAAAAUCAAGCAUAACCGGGAAAACAUAAAAAGUUUCAAACCUGCGACAUGCUGCCGUCGUCGAAAACGAUGUCGUCGUGGUCGCUGUGGCCGCCGUCGUCGUGGGCGUUGUGGCCGCCGUCGUCGCUUGUUUCCUUGUUCGUCCUCAUUUUCCUCUUUUCCAGUCGAUGCAGCUGUCACAUUUCCCCCCCUUUACUUCCAAAACCGUAGGAACAUAGAAUGGGUAAGGAAGGAGGUAGUUUAGGGCUGAAAAGUAUUGCUCAUGAACGAUUUCUUAGCUUUGUCAUUGAACGAGUUUGCUGUUUAGGGUUUGCUAUGGAAAACGGCCGCCUCCCUUGACAUGAAACUAGGGUUUUUCCUAGUUUCUG